GGCCGACUAGCUCAGUUGGUUAGAGCGUGGUGCUAAUAUGUAGCCAUCCGUGGACCUUACUACGCCAAGGUCGUCGGUUCGAUCCCGGCGUUGGCCA
RNAcentral lists this transfer RNA (97 nucleotides) under Grifola frondosa (maitake). It matches the Rfam family "tRNA". From Rfam's summary of the family: Transfer RNA (tRNA) molecules are approximately 80 nucleotides in length. Their secondary structure includes four short double-helical elements and three loops (D, anti-codon, and T loops). Further hydrogen bonds mediate the characteristic L-shaped molecular structure. tRNAs have two regions of fundamental functional importance: the anti-codon, which is responsible for specific mRNA codon recognition, and the 3' end, to which the tRNAs corresponding amino acid is attached (by aminoacyl-tRNA synthetases). tRNAs cope with the degeneracy of the genetic code in two manners: having more than one tRNA (with a specific anti-codon) for a particular amino acid; and 'wobble' base-pairing, i.e. permitting non-standard base-pairing at the 3rd anti-codon position. Lineage: Eukaryota; Fungi; Basidiomycota; Agaricomycetes; Polyporales; Grifolaceae. The record is from Rfam by way of RNAcentral.